UCUGCCUGGUCGUAACCCUAGGUAAAAAAUGAAAUGGGGAAGCGUCUACACUUUGGGAUCCAGAGCCACCACCAGUUAUCGCUUCACCUCACUUCGCGGCGCGGCGCGGCGGUGGGUUUCGUUUCGUUCUUCUCUUUCGCAGCACGAACACGGCGCUGCCGGCCACUCGGCGGUACCGCGGGUUCGUCUUGGUCUUCUUCCUCCUCGGGUAGACCGCCGCGUUCGGACAAGGCGGCCAGCUGCCGCGUAACGUCCGGGGGGUUCGGCGGGUCGGCGGGCAGGGGCAGGGUCUAGGCGGCGGAAGUAGCGGACGUCAGUGGCCAAGGAGUAGCCGGGUGGCCUUGGUCGGCGGCGGCAGCCCCUGUGUCGUAGCCAGCGUCGUCCCGGUGAGCCCGGCGAGAGGAGCCCCGUCGAGUGCGCCCCCCGCGAGGAAGGUGGGCAUGUAGUUCGCCAGCGCCAGCGCCUGCGGUUGGCGGCGGCCAGCUGCCACGUCGCUUCGGCGGCCAGCAGCCGCGUAACGCCGGGGGGGUUCACCGGGUCGGCUGGCAGGUGGGGCUAGGCGGCGGAAGUAGCGGCCGCCAGUAGCCAAGGAGUAGCCGGCCGGUUUUGGACGGCAGCGGCUACAGAGGGAGAGGCCCUUGUGACGUCGUCCCGUCGUGCCCGGCGAGGAUGGUGGGUGGGGGGAGCGCGCCAGCGCCUUGGGUUCUUUAUGGUGGCCCGUCGAGGCGGAGUGGUGUGGCGAGCGGCGGGGAACGGGGAGACGUGUCUCGGCCCGUCGUAGUUGUUGUUGUCGAGUCGUCGUUUUUGUCGAAUGACCGUUUGAGUGAAGAUCUCUAGGAUUCUCCGAUGUAUGAGCUGCCGCUUUUUACGCGGGAAAUGUUCCGUCUCCAACGGAGUGACCGAUCUGCUCCGACAAGCCAAGAAUGACAGCUGAAACUCGUGGAGGAAUGGUUAUAACUAGAGCGAGAGCGGUAACCGUUACUGUUACUGUCGAGUAUAGUCACCGAUUCUAGUCACCAUGCACGGAAGAAGUUACUCGUCACGUUACUCUACUUCUUGCUCGUCUCCUUCUUUAAACAACUCCCCCGAUCACAAAGAAAGUCAUUGUUCGGAUAUCUUCAAAAGGGUGACUGUCUUCAGUUCCGUUUUUUUCUUCUGGAACACUCCUAGUAAUUUUAGUAGGCACCUGUCCUUUGUACAUCUCGACGUUCGUGAAAACCGUGCCUUAAUAUAAACCGGUAGAACGAUAAACACGAACCGUUCGUGUCCCAACCCGUUUCGACCCUACCGCUGAAACGGCUCGUCCUGCAGAUAAAGAAGUCUAUAGAUCCGGCCGGCAACCUCACGGCGUAAGACUUUUCGUGUUGCGGUUCAGGGCACCGUGAAAGAUUUGCUCUGUAGAAGUUAGAACUCGUCACGUGUGGGAACCUCUCCUUCUUGCUAAAACCCUGUCACCUGCACGAGUACUGUGGUUUAAUACUCCUACGUCUACCGUUCAACGGACAGAAAGAACUACUUAACGUACUCCUGAACUUCCUGCGUGACGGAAGUUGACAACAGGUUGUUACCAAGUAACCCUUAGACCUUAAGUUAAACCGAAAUUACAGUAGGCGCCGUUCCUUCUAAGACUGCCAACGGUAGUCAUUAGAUUAGUCUAGCGAGUUCAACAGGAGGUUGCUUCUAAUAGCGUCCUAUAACUGCCUUGGUGGUAUAGGCGCACUAACCGCACACUCCAAAGUUCUACUACUCCCACAUUACCCUCCGUAGAUAACCAUGCUCUUACUUCUCUCUCUAUUUCUAUUCUUAGAUAUGUUUUUAUGAUACCUUUCACACUAACUCAUACGUUUCUUGUGAGUACUGGUGACGGUAUUCAUAAACCUCCCACUUUUCGCCGAUCUACUAAAACUACUUUCGCUCAACGAGUAUCGACAUUUCGACGGGCCCCACAAUCCUUUCGAUCACUUUCUAGAGUACUUCGAUUUGAACUACCUCCUGAACGACCGCCUUCACUCCCGGUAGAUAACAAGUAGGUCCAGUCGAGUUUUCCUCGGUCGUUGCCGUUACGACAUACACGUGCUGCUCCACGUACCCUGUGUUUUACUCUGGUGCCUUGUUUCACCUCUUGCGACUGACGCUGUUCCAACCGACCUUCUCUCACCCCACUGGACUGGACUGGAUUGGACUGCCACCCUCAAACAUUUCGUAGACGUCAAAUCACAUCGUAAGACCGCGGCCUCUCGUCAACCUACUACCGAGACUCGGAGCGAUACAUACAUGAGGGAGGCAAGCCUUAAUGAACAGAGCCUUUACCUACAUAGAUCUUGAUUUUAUGCAGAUCUAUGUAGGUAAAGACGCUGUUCAUUAAGGCUUGCCUCCCUCAUUGAACCUCGCGACACCACCAUAAAAAACAGGUGCCUAAUUGAGCCUUCCUAAGAACUUUGGGUCAGCUUACACAACAUCACAUGCAUGAUCCACUCUAGCUACAACCUUGAACGUACCGAACUCACGGACAUCGAGAUCAAACCAUCGUCUCCCAUACAGCACAUCCCCUCUGACACCAACCUUAAAGAUACGGAUAGACCGCGCUGGUAUUCAACCUAAACUUAAACGCACAACCAAGUAAAACACUAAUGUAUCCUCAUUAAGGAUAACACAGAGUAGAACACGACGAUUUCGCUCCCCAACGUAUCGACUCCACCAAAGGGUUCUACUUCUCACCCAAACAUCGUCGGGUAACGUUAACUCGUUAUAGACGACGAGACACCGGCUCGAAGUAGACGACUCGUAAAACGUCGUAGUCGCGUGACGUUAACACAGGGAAGAGAACGGACUGCGGAUCGUACAAAGGACAAAACCAAAACAAACGGCAACGGCCGGCCACGACAACGCCGCCUCAACCGGUCAAAUACGAGCAGCAAAGAACCCACCACAAAAAGGACUACCACGAGAAAACAACGUCGUCUAAACCUCACAAGAAAGUACAGUAAGUCCAACUGGACUCUCCUCUUACACUCUAACUAAAACUUUGAACGUACCGAAGUUACGGAC
RNAcentral lists this ribosomal RNA (3048 nucleotides) under Triticum aestivum (bread wheat). RNAcentral's name for it is "partial small subunit ribosomal RNA". Lineage: Eukaryota; Viridiplantae; Streptophyta; Magnoliopsida; Poales; Poaceae. The record is from RNAcentral.